CGGGACACGUGGUAUCCUGUCUGAAUAUGGGGGGACCAUCCUCCAAGGCUAAAUACUCCUGACUGACCGAUAGUGAACCAGUACCGUGAGGGAAAGGCGAAAAGAACCCCGGCGAGGGGAGUGAAAAAGAACCUGAAACCGUGUACGUACAAGCAGUGGGAGCCUCUUAAUGGGGUGACUGCGUACCUUUUGUAUAAUGGGUCAGCGACUUAUAUUCUGUAGCAAGGUUAACCGAAUAGGGGAGCCGAAGGGAAACCGAGUCUUAACUGGGCGUUAAGUUGCAGGGUAUAGACCCGAAACCCGGUGAUCUAGCCAUGGGCAGGUUGAAGGUUGGGUAACACUAACUGGAGGACCGAACCGACUAAUGUUGAAAAAUUAGCGGAUGACUUGUGGCUGGGGGUGAAAGGCCAAUCAAACCGGGAGAUAGCUGGUUCUCCCCGAAAGCUAUUUAGGUAGCGCCUCGUGAAUUCAUCUCCGGGGGUAGAGCACUGUUUCGGCAAGGGGGUCAUCCCGACUUACCAACCCGAUGCAAACUGCGAAUACCGGAGAAUGUUAUCACGGGAGACACACGGCGGGUGCUAACGUCCGUCGUGAAGAGGGAAACAACCCAGACCGCCAGCUAAGGUCCCAAAGUCAUGGUUAAGUGGGAAACGAUGUGGGAAGGCCCAGACAGCCAGGAUGUUGGCUUAGAAGCAGCCAUCAUUUAAAGAAAGCGUAAUAGCUCACUGGUCGAGUCGGCCUGCGCGGAAGAUGUAACGGGGCUAAACCAUGCACCGAAGCUGCGGCAGCGACGCUUAUG
RNAcentral lists this ribosomal RNA (799 nucleotides) under Escherichia coli. RNAcentral's name for it is "partial 23S ribosomal RNA". It matches the Rfam family "Bacterial large subunit ribosomal RNA", at positions 418 to 1220 of the family's 2925-position model. Lineage: Bacteria; Pseudomonadati; Pseudomonadota; Gammaproteobacteria; Enterobacterales; Enterobacteriaceae. The record is from RNAcentral.